GACGAACGCUGGCGGCGUGCUUAACACAUGCAAGUCGAACGAUGAAGCCUUCGGGUGGAUUAGUGGCGAACGGGUGAGUAACACGUGGGUGAUCUGCCCUGCACUUUGGGAUAAGCCUGGGAAACUGGGUCUAAUACCGAAUAUGAUCAUGCUCUUCAUGGGGUGUGGUGGAAAGCUUUUGCGGUGUGGGAUGGGCCCGCGGCCUAUCAGCUUGUUGGUGGGGGAAUGGCCUACCAAGGCGACGACGGGUAGCCGGCCUGAGAGGGUGACCGGCCACCCUGGGACUGAGAUACGGCCCAGACUCCUACGGGAGGCAGCAGUGGGGAAUAUUGCACAAUGGGCGCAAGCCUGAUGCAGCGACGCCGCGUGAGGGAUGACGGCCUUCGGGUUGUAAACCUCUUUCAGCAGGGACGAAGCGCAAGUGACGGUACCUGCAGAAGAAGGACCGGCCAACUACGUGCCAGCAGCCGCCGUAA
RNAcentral lists this ribosomal RNA (476 nucleotides) under uncultured bacterium. RNAcentral describes it as "partial 16S ribosomal RNA". It matches the Rfam family "Bacterial small subunit ribosomal RNA", at positions 28 to 523 of the family's 1533-position model. The record is from RNAcentral.